Molecule: long non-coding RNA, 610 nt
Filed under: Helianthus annuus (common sunflower)
Lineage: Eukaryota; Viridiplantae; Streptophyta; Magnoliopsida; Asterales; Asteraceae
Source: RNAcentral
GCAGGUAGGUGAUUCACCUACCUGCCUUUCUACUUCACGCUCUUAGUGUCCUCCGGCCCGCCACGUUGUGGAAGAGUUUGACACCUGUUUUGUAGGUUUUAUUAUCUGGCGAUCUCAUCACUGUCAAUAUUUCACUUUUAUCGUUGUUUGGUGAUGGAUUUCUCUCUUGAUCUUGUGCUGAAAAUGGUCUGAUGAUGGUGAUGACGGAAGACCGUUUGGGUGUACGAUGGUAAACCUGCUGUCAAUGGAUUAUGGAAGCUUAGCAUAUAUUCACCAAACGCUUACUGUCAGUUUGUGUGGGAGCUCUUUAAUGAUCCAGAGAGAUUCAGGUGUCGGUCGACUGCCGCUACCAUCACCACCGUCAUAAGGCCUAUUUAUCAUAUGCCUUUUAUGCUUCAAUAACUAAACAAAUCCACAUGAUUAGGUAAUCGGCCCAGAAAGAAAGAGUUGAUAAAUGGACAAUGAAACAAGACACAAAUGUUGUUCGAAUGACAACUACCUGUGUUGCUUCUAAAAGGGGUCUAGAUAUUGAUGCAAGUGUAGAUGUGCUUGACGACGAGUUAAUGUAAGUUUGUUUUAUAUAUUGCAUAAAAAAUGUAUGUUUUUGUUU